AGUGAACGCUGGCGGUAGGCCUAACACAUGCAAGUCGAACGGCAGCACAGUAAGAGCUUGCUCUUACGGGUGGCGAGUGGCGGACGGGUGAGGAAUACAUCGGAAUCUACUUUUUCGUGGGGGAUAACGUAGGGAAACUUACGCUAAUACCGCAUACGACCUACGGGUGAAAGCAGGGGAUCUUCGGACCUUGCGCGAUUGAAUGAGCCGAUGUCGGAUUAGCUAGUUGGCGGGGUAAAGGCCCACCAAGGCGACGAUCCGUAGCUGGUCUGAGAGGACGGUCAGCCACACUGGAACUGAGACACGGUCCAGACUCCUAAGGGAGGCAGCAGUGGGGAAUAUUGGACAAUGGGCGCAAGCCUGAUCCAGCCAUACCGCGUGGGUGAAGAAGGCCUUCGGGUUGUAAAGCCCUUUUGUUGGGAAAGAAAAGCAGCAGGUUAAUACCCCGCUGUUCUGACGGUACCCAAAGAAUAAGCACCGGCUAACUUCGUG
Molecule: ribosomal RNA, 492 nt
Filed under: uncultured bacterium
Lineage: Bacteria
Description: partial 16S ribosomal RNA
Rfam family: Bacterial small subunit ribosomal RNA
Source: RNAcentral